Molecule: long non-coding RNA, 334 nt
Filed under: Phoenix dactylifera (date palm)
Lineage: Eukaryota; Viridiplantae; Streptophyta; Magnoliopsida; Arecales; Arecaceae
Description: long non-coding RNA (PDAC_LNC010000)
Source: RNAcentral
ACUAGGGAAACCUAGGGGUUUAAAGCCUUGUUGCAUAUGGUAAAUGCAAUCGCGAUGCCUGCGAAAGUGAGUUAGAGUUUCUUCUUUUCUAAUUUUAUUUUGCUCGAGGACUAGCAAAAUGUAGGUUUGGGGGUGUGAUAAGUGCUAAAUAAUGUACAAAUUUAUCUAUUUUACAUAGCACUUAUUAUUAUUGUUAUGCACAUAUUUUAAAUAUUAACAGAAGAAAAUGUGUUUCACCUCUCAUUUCAUUUUAAUAAAUUAUUAGAGGUAAUUCAAGUUUGGUUUAAUUUUCUAUAUUGAUUUAGUCUAAUGUGUGUGCAGGUCGAGUCACCCC